GACGAGGUGGCCGAGUGGUUAAGGCGAUGGACUACUAAUCCAUUGUGCUCUGCACGUGAGGGUUCGAAUCCCAUCCUCCUCG
Molecule: non-coding RNA, 82 nt
Organism: Danio rerio (zebrafish)
Lineage: Eukaryota; Metazoa; Chordata; Actinopteri; Cypriniformes; Danionidae
Source: Rfam